Molecule: long non-coding RNA, 4159 nt
Organism: Podarcis muralis (Common wall lizard)
Lineage: Eukaryota; Metazoa; Chordata; Lepidosauria; Squamata; Lacertidae
Source: Ensembl
GCACACACACACAGAGACACGCUUUUUGAGGGUGAAGUGGGGGGCUGGGAGAGGGGUAGGGUAGGCACUGGGUGUGUGGGUCUUAUCCUCCACCUCACCUCUUCAUGAACUCCCCUCCCCCCAGGCACCUCCUUCUACCAUGGAUGCUUUGCAGACAUCUGAUGCCCUGUAAUGCCGUCGGGGCUGGGCCAUCUCACUCUGCUGCGCCAUUUUCAUUGGGCACUGAUGGCUCUUUUAUUUUCGGGAGAGGAGGGCGGGGAGCGUCGCCUGGACCCCCCCCCUUUCCCCAUUUGGGACGCUCGAAUGGAGGCUGCCCUGUGCCUUGGGUCCCAAUACAGACCGGGGCCCAAAGCCAACUGCUCUCGCCCAGCAGUGUUGCUCAUCCGGCGCCCUCGGGGGUCCCUUUUCUGAACUCCUGCUUCAACACCGCGAGGCGGCUCAGGAAGGAGCUUGGGAAAGGAGGACUGGAGGAAGAGACAUGCAAGGACUCAGUUCAGAUUGGACCUUUGUUGAAGCAAAUUUCUCACUCAGAGCUAUCCCUGGGGCUGCAACCACAGGCCUGUCCAUUUUGGUGCCUGGAACAAAUGGGUCAAAGCAGCAACACAUCACUGGUCAUAGUACAAUCUUGAUAAUUAUUUCUCUGAAAUGGGAAUCUCUCCAGCGUUAGAAGAACACAAUCAGAAAAACAGAAGAUAUCUAUGAAGACAGCAGCUUCCCAGCAUGGAAGCUGAGAGUACAUUGUGUGUCCUGUAUACUUGAGGCUGCAUGAUAGCAGAAGCUGCCAAUCUUUUUGGACCAGUAGGCACAUCUGCAAACUGCAGAAACUACCAUGGGUACCACAACCCCACUGUCUUCAAGCACAGGCUGCAAGCUAGUCUAUUGACUACAAUAAGAUGCUCCUUUCAACUCUCAUUUCAGCAGCGCAAGAGGGAGGGAACUUGGUGGACCCUCUUUCAAGUUCAAUAUUAACACCAAGAGGCGUAAUAGAGGGUUGCAUUUUAACAGCACUAUUGCUUAAUCCUUUUAUAAUAAAACAUUUCAGGAGCUCUCUUCUUCCCCUACUCAAUCUUAUCUUGAUUUUUGCUCUUAUUUAGUUAUUUGCAAUGUCUUGAUAUUUCUUUAUGCACUGGAUCAAAACAAAAUAUGCUGGUUGCAUUGGUAAGGAGUGGCUGCAUUCAGACAUUAUGGAUAAAUUAUGGUUUAUAGUGACAGGAAUCAACCUAGCCUCCUCCAGGAUCAUGUUCCCUCUCCUCCUGCUUGGCUGUUGCUUCCUGCUUCAGUUAAUCACUGAACUCUAAACUGUGGCUAAUCUUAACUAUCAUUAUUUGAAAUAAGCCAACUCUGUAAACUAUGGCUUUACAUUGGCUUGCUUCAAACAAACUUCACUUAAAGGUUCACCUCAAUUUGUUGGGCUUGUACAACAUAGCAAACUGAGCUCAAUCAAAACCAGAAAAAAUGCUUCUCAUCCCCUCCCCAUGGCUGGAUUGGAGAAGAAGGGCAAGCACAUGAGCUAGACUUUUUCUCAUUAUGAUAAACUAUUGUUAAUCAUGAUGACCAAACAUGGUCAUUGUGAUUUCAUAUACCAUAUAGCCUCUGCUGAUCCUUCUAAUGAGAUUGAAUCUUCCCAAAGAUCCACCACAUAUGCAUAUCAUAUGUACUGGAACCUUGACAGUUCCAAACAUAUAUCGAAUGUUGCUCUGUUUAAUUGGCUGAAGUGUUAAAUUAAUAGCACAAUACUCUUUAGGGGGUGGGAUUUAACUAAUUGGCCCUGAUUGCAGAAACCUGUGCAAGGACUUCUACUAGUGCAAUGGGACUUCUCCCUCCCCCUAUGUGCUCCCAUGCCCCCAUUGGCGCCGGGGUGUCAGGAGAACCCCCAGAAGAGCACAUGGGGGAAGAGAGGGGAUAUUGUUCUAUUGGGCAAGCAGAAAUGAUGGAACUUCCAAAGGUUGUGAAAGGAGUGUCCAGGUGUGAGGCUUCAUCUCCGGUAAUGGAGAAAGCUCACGGAAGGGGUGUCAAGUCAGAGGGGGAAGAGUCUGACGGAGAAGACACAACUGCUGGCCCUAAUGGGUCAGUAGGGUAUCAGGUCACAGGUGCGUGGAAAAGUGUCGCACAGUGUGAUUCUGGGAAUGCUGAAGGGGUUCAACAGGUGCCUGGGAAAGAUGCCGGGAAGUGGCACAAGGCAAAGGGGAAGGUGUUGAACUCAGAAGGUCUUGUCAGAAUGUGAUGCAGAGGGGGUAUGGGAGUUGGAACUUAACUGGUUAAGUUGUUCCCAUGGUGCCUCAGCAUUCUGACGUCAGCCUAGCAAGCUGGGAGGAGUUUGGGAAGAGUUUCUGUUCUGUUCCCCUCUGGUCUUUGAGGGAGAAAGACGUAGCCGGUAAUGGCGGAAAGGAGCCCAGGAGAUUCCUGGGGAAAUGUCGGAAUAAAGAGCUGAAAAGGACUUUUGUUUAAACAAUGGGAACAAUUUGUUUAAAUUCCACCCUUAGCUGGAACAUGUUAAAUUCCACCCUUAGUGUUUAUUAUUGUUGAAAUACAUCAAGAGUCCUUGCACUUUAUUGGAUAACAUCUCUUUGUUUAUUUCUGUGUGGCUCUGUCUAUGCAUUGCAAAUGUAUGUGUUCUGUACAGUAAUUUGAUAGCUUACUCAUCUCUUCAUGACCAUAGUAAAUAGAAAUCGAGAGCCUAAUAAUAACAAAGUCUGAAUUAGAACACACAGAUCUUGAGUGCACUAUUUUCCGGGAAUGGGAAUCCUUGGCAAGCCUGCUUGCAGGUCUUUUCGGAACAGCUUGUGGCCUUGUCUAAUUGGUUAAGGGUAAGAAACAAACAUAUGGUGUUUAAUUGGAGCAGAGAAACUUUGGAACAUUAAUUCAUUUUAUCUGGUCAUUGAAUUUCUGUUGGGGUGGAGGGCCAGAGUAACAGAGAUUUCAGGCUUUCUAGGUGAAAAUUAAAUACAUGGCCCAACCAACAUUUAGCUCUUGUGUGGUUCAUCUGCACAUCCCUGUUCAAGCAAAUGGCACAACUUCUAACCUGAAUAAUACAAGAAAGGAUAAUUGGUAUCAAUUCAAUCUCUUUCCUCAGGUUUUGAAAACUUCUUUUUCAAAAAUUGCAUGUAUUUUUAAAAAAUCCACGUCUUGCAUGCUGAAGUAUUCCUAACCAGACUUAAUGCAAACCUGGGUCUCAAGCUGGGUUCUAAGCACAUUUGCUUUGAAGAAAGCUUUACUGAAAUUCAUUCUAAAUAAAAGCGUUUAAUAUCAAGGUGCAUAUGCUUUAUCUUAAUUCUUCCUUCCUGAGGGCUAUUGCCUGGAGUUCAAUAAUCUCUUAGAUUGGGUUGGAGAUGAACUGAUCUAGUUCUACAGUAACAGAUUGUGGUAUUUGAACCUCACAACCACAUUUAGAAGAGGUUAAAAACAGGAUGCCUGCAGCUGAAAUAACAAUUGUUACUAUUUUAAACCAUUUAGCUCUUUCCUUCCAGUUUUGCAAUGUUUCUGUUUGCUUUUAUUAAGUUUUGAAAGCACAUCACUACCUAACAUCACUGUAGAAUUUUUUUUUCAUUUUGUAAUUAUACUUUUCUCGAAACAAACAAGGAUUUGGCCCACUUUAGUUAAUUAUCUGACUUCAGACCAGUGGUCCAUCGAGAUCAGUAUUGUCUAAGUAGAUGGCAUUGGCUGUCCAGUAUAGCAGAUGGGGUUCUCUCCCAGCCCUUCCAAGAGAUGCUGGCAAUUGAACCUGAGACCUUCUGCAUGCAAGGUCUAAAGCCUAUGCCCUUACUGGGACGUUAACUUAAUCCCAGUGCAGUUGCUACACAGGUAACUCUCAAUUUACAUGCAUUUAACUUGUACAUAUUCAGCUUUACAUGCUCGGCAAAAAUAAAAUUAAAAAGGGGUGGGUGUCUGGGGGAAAAUAUACUUUGACAAUCCCACACACCAUUGAAUCCAAUGUGUCUUGACUAUAUGUGAUUUUGCCUUUAUGUGCUGUCCCUGAAACGUAAUCCCCGUGUGAGUUGAUCAUUACCUGCAGUUCAUUUCUAUAAAUCAGGAGUCUCUGGGGUCUCUGUGAGAAAACCCGGAUAUAAUCUUCUAAAUUUAAAAAUAAAAGAGUGUGGAAUAUGUACAGUGUUGUUGUUGUUCAUUUGGAGUCUUUACUUACAUAGUUAUUUCUGUCACU